RNAcentral lists this long non-coding RNA (7821 nucleotides) under Marmota monax (woodchuck). Lineage: Eukaryota; Metazoa; Chordata; Mammalia; Rodentia; Sciuridae. The record is from RNAcentral.
GACGACCUGGACUUACGGGGAGAAAGGUAAAUGUUGUUUCUUAUGGUUUUCAAGCGCUAAGAGCAAAAGUACAUGCCUCCUUUCUCUGAUUUUAUGCUCAUUUCCCAUGUGAUGAAUCCAAGCACCACCAGCAUCUGCUAAUCUGUUCUUUUCUUUACAACUGCUCACCUCUCCCUUUACUAGGAGAGAGAGUGAUCUUGCCCAUCUUGAAACAAAGCUGAGAACUCUUCUCAACUCCAUAAUUUCUUGAAAGCAGAACGUGUGCUUGGUGGCUGAGUCAGGUUGGGUGGGGGACAUCAGAACUCAAGUCUGUUCCUGUAGGUUGUCCUCUAAACUCAAUCUACCAUGCCAGGUGGCUCUGUUGGAGAUGGUCAGAGAAAGUUAUUUGCCUCAUCAGAAUCUCACUCCCCUGCUUAAAACCAUCCAUCAGGUCCCUCACUGGGUCACCUUCAGGGGCCUGGAUCUGUACCGUCAUACAGGGCCUGAGAUGGGCCCCUGCUUGAUUUAAGGCUGUACUCAAUCCUGGAAAUGCUUAAUUUCUGAGCAAAGGGUCUGUUUUCCUUUUACACUGAGCCCAGCAAACUAUGUCGCCAGAGUUCUCUUCCCCAUGACCCUUGGGAAAAUCUUCAAAGCUUAAGGUAGUAAUAAGAUAAAUAAGUCCUGGGGAGCUGACAUAAGCAUUUUGGCUUAUAGUUCAUGGUACUGUAUUGUAUAACUGAAAUUUUGCUAAGAGAAUAGAUCUUCAAUGUUCUCACAUUUAAGAAAGAGUGGUAAAAAAGAAAGAGUGGUAACGUCACUGGAAGAGGGGAACUCAACUCAGGACUAGAGGGAUGCUUGACUGUGAAGGAAAGAAUUUCAGCAUCUGUGGGCAAAGGUGCAGAGAUUUAUUUAGGAAAGCAAUAGUAGACACUCAAAGGAGAAUGCAGACCAUCUUGAGAGUAAGAGGUGAUGCUUUUGGGGUUUUCUAGUGCUUCUUUUAAAGGAAACUUGGUGAGGUGUGGGUGUGGGAAGGUAUGUGAGGAUGACGUUUGCAGGAUCCUUAGGUUGGUGUGGUCUCUGUUAUCUGAUGGGUAGAUAAUGCUGUCAGGCCCCCAAUGUUAUUGGUUUCUUAAAAUAUCCUCUAUUAACUUACUCUAUUUAUUGGUGCACAAAUUAACAGCAUGAAAAGUAAUUAUCCCAGGUGAGUGAACUUAGAACCUUUAAGAUUUCCCAGAUAUUUGGGAGUAAAAAGCCUGGAAUAGCUUGUGGUACUUUAAAUUAAAAUUGUAUUUCCUUGUUCUUUCUUUAUGUCUCCUUUCUACCUAGUUUCCUGAUCUCCUCUAUCCUUCCUCAGUAAUAAACUGAGGCAGUAGAUGUGUUAACUAAUGUGAUGUGGGUCAUAAUUUUGUAAUAUGUGUAUGUAUCAUAGCAUCAUAUUAUAUACCUUAAACCUACACAGUUUUGUCAAUUACCUCAAUAAAGCUUCAGGGGGUGAGGGAGCAGCUUACGAGACCCCUUGCUAUUUACCCUGUUUAGUUGAAAGCUGUUGCUCAUCUUUCUCUGGUGAGUCUGUCCUGGCCUCUCUCCACCUUUGAUUUUUUCUAUCUAGCUUCUGACCUUUUACUAUCUGAGUCUGGCUUAUUUAGUUCAACACGAUGCUCUCCAAUUCCAUCCAUUUUUCUGAAAAUGACAGAAUUUCAUUCUUUAUGACAGAAUGAAACUCCAUUGUGUGUAUAUAUACCACAUUUUCUUUAUCCAUCCAUCUGUGGACAGACACCUAGACUGGUUCCCUAACUUGGCUAUUGUGAGUUGUCCUGCUAUAAACAUCGGGUAUUCAUGUAUCACUAUAGGAUGCUCACUUUAGUUCUUUAGGGUAAAUACCAAGGGGUCAUAUGAUGGUUUCAUUCCCAGUCUUUUGAUUUCCAUAGUGGUUGUGCUAAAUUACACUCCCACCAACAGCAUAUAAGAGUUCCUCUUCCUGAUAGCCCACCUACGUGCUAGAACUUGUGAUUUGUAUUUCAUUUUUUUUUUUUUGGCACCAGGUAUUGAACCCAGAAGUGCUUAACCACUAAGAGCCCAAUUCUCUUUUCAACCAGACAACCUGCCCUUGGUGAGGGCAGGACCAUAUUUAUCAUGUUCAGUGGUUUAUUUUCCAGGACAUUAAGCAAUUGUUGGAUGAGCAGAUGCCUCAGCAAACAAAUCAACUUUCCCUGGAGUUCAUUUUCUACUCUUUGCUUCUCCUUCAGUUCUUUCAUGAACACUGGGAAAGCAGUAACUUGAGUCGAGCUCUGGUCUGUGCUUGAUAUUUUUUGCUUUCCUUUGGGAAGAUCAUUACUUGUACAUGUCCCCCUGCUGAGCACUGGCCCCCCCUCCUCACUGGGAGCCUUGAGUCCCCACAUCCAGGACAGAACAUCCUUUGGUGGGAGCUAGGUUUGAUUGUACUAAUCUGAAGCUCUUCUUGUCUCAUUGACUAGGGAGAACCUGGAGAACUUGGAGUUCCAGGGCCAGUGGGGCCAGCUGGACAGCGGGGAAAACAGGUAUGAAAUUUGAAACCCUUCCCCUCCCAAUUUCAAGUGCUAAGUUCUGAGGUAAGGAGAGGGGGGCUGACACUAUUGGCACAAGCAUCUGUGGUAUGGAAGGUACUUAGGCAUCUGGGAAGAUGUGGGGGCAUUUCUCCAAUAUCCUACCCCCCCCACCCCUGGCUGGUCUAUCUGUUAAAGUGAGGGAGAAUAACAAGGGGGAGGCAUAGAGGAUAAUGAAUGAAUUAGAAUAGGGCAUUGCAGUAUUUUAGCAGCCAGUAUGGCCAUGUAGAUACAUAUUGUUGAACAACAAAACUUCCCCUUUCUCUCCUUGUGAAACUCUAGGGCAACAACAGGAGAUAGGGGAGUAGGGCCAAGAAAGAGAGCAUCACCUUUUCAGGUUUAUGCUCUCUCCUAAGUGGCUCUGGUUGUACCCAAAUCUCAGCCCUUGGAACACCAAAUAUUAGGACAAUUAUUUCACUCCUUUUUAAAAAAAGAACAUUUUUAUUAUAAACAUUAUGUGUACAUAUUGUAGAAAAUUUGCCAAGUGUAUUAUUGACCACAGCUUAGAUGCAGAAUCAACCUAAAUGUCCAAGUGAAUGCAUAAAGAAACAUUGCACACACACACACACACACACACGAUUCCACUUUAAAUAAAAGAAGGAAAUCCUGUCAUUUGUGUAUGAAAACAUGGAUGAACUUGGAUGACAUUAUGAGCAAUGAAAUAAAUAAGCCAGGCAUAGAAAGGAAAAUACUGUACCACACAAUCUCACUUAUAUGUGAAAUGUAAAAAAGGCAAACUCAGAGACAGAGUAAAUUGAUGGUUCUCAGAGGCUGAGGGGUCGGGGACUGGGGUGAUGUUGGUCAAAGGAGACCACAUUUCAGACAGGAGGAAUAAGUUCAAGAGAUGUGUUGUACAUCAUGAUGACUAUAGUAAAUCAUAAUGUAUUGUGUUUUUGAAAAUAGGAAGGAAGGAAAGAAAGGAGAGUAUGAGGGAGGGAGGGAGGGGAAGGAAUUAACAAAUAACCACAGAGCUAGGAGCUCACAGAGAAAUGAAUAUAAGGACACAGUAAGUUCCUGGCCUGUUGCCAUGUCCCACAGUCCACUGUCUCUACAAAGGCUUCCAGUCUUCCUUCAUGGAAGUUUUUAUCCAUAAAAAUAAAUCAGAAUGCUUGUAGAAAUGGUCUGGCUUCUUCAGUCUUCAAAGUGCCUUUUCAUGAUCUAAUUUGAAAACAUGAAUAUUCAAAAAGGAAAAAAAAAGAAAAGAAAGGGGAGGGGGGAUAGUAGGGGAUAGGAAAGGUAGCAGAAUACAACAGUUACUAAUAGGGCAUUAUGUAAAAAUGUGGAUGUGUAACCGAUGUGAUUCUGCAAUCUGUAUUUCGGGUAAACAUGGGAGUUCAUAACCCACUUGAAUCUAAUGUAUGAAAUAUGAUAUGUCAAGAGCUUUGUAAUGUUUUGAACAACCAAUAAAAAAAAAGAAAAGAAAAAAAGAAAUGAAAUUUACCAAGCUUAAAAAUGGGCAAAGGAUAUGAAAUUAAAAAUUAUCUACCAUCUCAUCAUUUUGAGAUAUUUUUAUUAAUAUUCUGGAAAUAGCAAAAAAUAAAAAUAAAAAAGAAGAAAGAAAAUCACUUUAUUUUCCCUUCUUAAUAAUGUAUCAUGAGCAUUCCUUCCUAGUCUUGACAAGUUGCUACAUUUUUCUCUCAAUGACACUUAACUUUUCAAAUAUUCUACCUUAGUUUAUUUGCCCAAUCUCUUAUUAUUAGAAAUUUAGUUUUAUUUCAGGUUUUCACUAUCCUAAAUAACACACCAAUGAAUAUUAUUAUACCUAACUAAAAAUUUGGACAAAUGCAAUGUGUGUGUGUGUGUGUUAUUAUUUUUUUGCCAUGCUGGGGAUCGAACCCAGGGUCUAGUGCUUGCUAGGCAAGUGCUCUACCACUGAGCCGUAUCCCUGCUCCAUCUUCUACAUAGAAGUUUCUAGAAUUUGUAUAGUUGGGUCAAAGAGUAUGUACAUGUUUAAUUAGGCUUUGAAUUCUACUUGUCUAUGCCAUUAGGAAAAUUCAAACAAUACAUAGGUCCAAGUGCAGGAGAGUGUUUGGUUUAGGCCCUCACACCAACAUAGAUAUUUAACUUUGUUUUCCCAUCUUUACCAUUGACACAAAUGCUAUCUGUUCAAUUGCGUUUAUUUGGUUCCUAGUGGGGAUAAACACAUUUUCCCUGUAUAUCUAUUUGCCAUUUAGCAUCAUUCUUUGGGUGAUUCCUCACCUAUAUUCAUUGGACCAACUCCUAAGUUUCCAAUCAAGAAAUGGCCACUGGAUCUGAGUCCUGAACAACCAUCCUUCUGUUUCCUGCACUGGUUAGAGUGGAGAUGGCCGAAGAAGAACCAGGGCAUACCUCAGGAACUGAGGGAAACCUAGCAACACACAUGUUCCCAGGGUUCAGGGUCACCAAGCAGGCCCCCUCCACCUGGAGGUCCACAGUGCUUCUCUACUGGUAUCGGGUACAAUUAGUUUUUUUCAACUCUGAGAAACUGAAAUGAUUUGGUGUGUUUACAGGGAGAUUAUGGCGUCCCAGGUUAUGGUAAUAAGGGACAAAAAGGAGUAAAGGUAAGUAUGGAAAACAACUCUUUUUAAAAAAUUGAUAAAUCAAGCCUAAAUAAUAACAGAAGAAAUAACCCUACGGAGGAAGUGGUAUGCUGAUUUAUUUGUUUUCUGCUGAAAAAUUACAGGGUCCAAGAGGAUUCCCUGGAGAUAUAGGGCAGAAGGUACUGCGCACAUGAACUUCUUUUGUAAUUAUCGUGAUCUUAACCUUCUGGAGAGUUAAGGUUGUAGGUCUGAAUGUAAUGGGAAGGUGGGGGCUGGGUGGGAGCAGUGCAGUUGUUUCUCCCAGAGCUUUAUGACUCCUAUGAAUCUUUGUAUUGGAAAAGAUAGUCCUGUCCUUCAUUGCCUGAGGUCCCACACCUUGAAACUCCACCUACAGGUAUCCUUUGUACUUUAGUUCUUCCUUCUUUUCUUGAUUUCUCUGCCUUUGUUAUCUCAUUCACUACCUUGGCUAUUACUACUUGUCCUUCAUUAUUGCAACCUUUGUUUCCUCUUGGCUGAAAGAUGACAAUAGUUUUCUCAUCGAUCUUUUUUAAAAUUUAUUUAUUCAUUUAUUUUUGCAUUACGAUUAGAAUAGAGGACACAGAGAUCUAACCCACAAAAUUACAACUACCUUAUAUUAGACAAAGGUGCCAAAAGCAUGCAAUGGAGGAAGGAUAGCAUCUUCAACAAAUGGUCCUGGGAAAACUGGAAAUCCAUAUGCAACAAAAUGAAACUGAAUCCCUUUCUCUCGCCAUGCACAAAAGUUAACUCAAAAUGGAUCAAGGAGCUAGGAAUCAAACCAGAGACUCUGCGUCUAAUAAAAGAAAAAGUAGGCCCCAAUCUCCAUCACGUGGGGCUAGGCCCCAACUUCCUUGAUAAGACGCCUAUAGCACAAGAAUUAAAACCAAGAAUCAACACAUGGGAUGGAUUCAAACUAAAAGGUUUUUCUCAGCCAAAGAAAUAAUAUGUGAGGUUAAUAGGGAGCCUAUGUCCUGGGAACAAAUUUUUACCCCUCACACAUCAGAUAGAGCUCUAAUCUCUAGAGUAUAUAAAGAGCUCAACAAGAUAAGCACCAAAUAAACAAACAAUCCAAUCAAUAAACAGGCCAAGGACCUGAACAGACACUUAUCAGAAGAGGAUGUACAAUCAAUCAACAAAUAUAUGAAAAAUUGCUCAUCAUCUAUAGCAAUCAGAGAAAUGCAAAUUAAAGCUACUCUAAGAGACCAUCUCAUUGAUCUUUGAUCUUUUGUUUUGAUCUUUUCCCUGCUUCUGUUGGUCCCAAAUACUACAGUCACUGGAUUUUCCCCAAAGCAUAGCCUCACUCUGCUGCUUCUUUUCUUUUUCUUUCUUUCCUUUUUUUAUUGGUACCAGGGGUUGAACUCAGGGGCACUCCACUACUGAGCCACAUCCUCAGCCUUUAUUAUUUUUUAUUUUGAGACAGGAUUUCACUAAGUUGCUGAGGCUGACUUUAAACUUGUGAUUCUCGUAGUGCUGGGUUUACAGGCAUGUGCCUGGCUUGUUAUGUUACUUUCUUGAUCAGACCUCUUCUAGAAUUCCUCCUUGACUGUUAGAUUGAAGAUGGGUCUUCUAUUUCAUCCAAAGUAGCUCACAUUUUAUGAAAAUGCACAGUGAUUCUGUAUUAAGAUUUUCUAUUUCAAAAAAAAGUGUUCAGAACCGUGUUUUCCAAAUAGUUGGUGCUCAGAUCAAAAUGCAAGAUAUAGGUUAAAAAAUAGAAUAUGUCUAAUCAAAUCCCCUAUAGGAAAGCAGCCAGUUUUUGGAUUCUCUUAAAAAGCAUUUUUAACUGAUGAUUUACCAAAAUAUUCUUUCUUUAGGCAGAAAAGGAUUCAAGGGAGAUGAAGGGAAUUGGAGGAGAGGGGGUGGAGAUGUUCAAAGUAUGUUAUGUGCAUGUAUGGUUAAGCCACAAUGAAACCCAUUAUCUGUAUAAUUAAAAAUGUACUAGUGAAUAAAAAAAGACAAUUCCAAAUUAAAAAGGAAAAAAAAGGACACAAGAAGAGACUAUAUGAAUAGCUAUUAGGAUAAGAGUUCUCCUUAUAAAGGAUCUGUUUUCUAAUUUACUGAUAAAGGGAGAAAAUUAGCAUAUAUAAAGUUACUGACAUAAGUGAAAUAAGCAUAUUGAUAAAUAACUGUUAAAAUUAGUUUCUCACCAAAGUCAGAAAAAUUUUUUAACCUUCAACUUUUAAAAAUAAUUCAUGAAUUUAGGAAAUAAUUAAUUAUUUUGUAUUUUAUAUAGUCAGUACUUUCUAUAUUUUCCAUGGUUUUUAAGCAUCUUCUUUGGAUAGUUUUAGUAACUGAAAGUCACUGAGUUGGUAUUUAUAUGCAAAUAUUUGUAUUAUUUGAAUAUUAAAAUAAUUUAGGGAAUAUCUAAAUGGACAUAAUGACAGUUCCAAAUGACAGGAAAAGAUGACAUUUAAUGUUGUAUUGGCCUAUGUGUGUGUGUGUGUGUGUGUGUGUAUAUAUAUAUAUAUAUAUAUAUAUAUAUAUAUAUAUAUAUAUAUAUAUAUAUAUAUUUUUUUUUUUUUUUUUGAUACUGGGGAUUGAACCCAGGGCCUUGUGCAUGCGAAGCAAGCACUCUACCAACUGAGCUAUAGUAUAAUUCUUAUAAGAGCAAUUCAGUUUUGGUUUGGAGACAAUUUUUUUUUAUUCUCUUAUAGCACAUAUGUUAACAUCUUGAUUUUUUUCUCUGAAUCUUCAGGGUAUUGUUGGUGAUCCUGGAAUUCCUGGGG